Molecule: transfer RNA, 67 nt
Filed under: Alboglossiphonia lata
Lineage: Eukaryota; Metazoa; Annelida; Clitellata; Rhynchobdellida; Glossiphoniidae
Description: tRNA-Ser
Source: RNAcentral
UAGAAAUAGUGGACUAUAAAAAAGCUUCUAACUUUAUUUAAGAUGGUUCAAUUCCAUCAAUUUCUUA